CUAGAGGCAUCCGAUCCUUCCCGAAGAGGGGAGAACACGAUGAAACCGAACUAGCCAAUUGCCGCUGUCGCUCACACGCCGCCAGCGCCGGCCGCCCCCAAUUCCUCUUCCGCAGCAUCCCCACCACUCACUGCCACCUCCACCUCCUCCUUCCCCUCCCGCCUAUUAUCUCCUCUCCCCCUACCCUGUCCCCUUCGAUGCCGAUGUCGACAUGUACGCCGCCGGCGCCGUCUGUCCCCGAGGUCCGUGACACCUCUUCUGUCUCCUUUGAUGCAGAAGCCCCUCCGCCCGCCAUCUCCCUCUAUCGCAUCUCAUCUGCGUCGACAUCGGCAAGUACGUCACCGGCAUCGUCCGCCCCCUGAUUCAGCAACGGCUCUCAUGCAGCAGCCCCGGCGCCCACCAGCUUCACCUCCUUCCCAUCGACGCGCUCCACGUCUGUCCAAUUCGAGUAUGAGCUGCUCCCCAGGACCUCUAUGUCGUUUGCAACUGGAGCACUACCCACGAGCUCCACAGUCCAGACCCGCAUCAUCCUCCUUCCGUCUUGGAGAUGGCAAAUCUGGUGUGAUGAUUGAUGUGAAGGUACUGUGCUCUGAUGGUCCCUCUCCUUCCCAGUCCCAAGUCAAAAAUUUCCGUUACUCAAAAGUUCAAAUCCACACGCCUAUCUCGAACUGUCUAGAAACCACUCAUGUCAUGUAGCCGCGCUGCUCAAACUACAUCCCCAAGAAGCCACAUAAUCUUUAGCUCGAACGGAGUGUGAGGAGGCGUGAGUCACUGUUAUUAUCCAUCUAAUCUACUUUUUUCAAGGACCAUGGUUUGGGUGUGGAAGAAUAGUAGAAUCUUCUCUACUUCUCAUGAACCCCUUGCUUCAUCUCUAUUAUACAAUCUUUUUCUGGCAGAAAUCUGGUUGAUGUUAAAUAAGAAAGUGACAAGAGGUCCAGUACAAUUUUUAUGUGCGUGUAUGUACAUUCUGUUUCUUUGCUUGGUACAAAAUAUAUUGCAAGGGAUGUUCCUUUUUGCUUCGUUAAAUAUACUACAUACCCUCUACAGACUCGGCUUAUUUUCCUUUGUCUGAAUAUAACACAGACGAAUUGAAUGCAGUAGUUGUUGGAAUUCAGUAAUGUUCAGGCUUGUUCGAGUGUUAGUUUUCUUCAGAAUUUCAGUGUUCCUUUUCUGAAGAAAGUUAUAAAGGAACUUCUUGUGAAUUUUGGUUGUUACUCGUUGAGAUUGUAUCCUCUAUUUUUGUUUGCCUAGGUAUAUCUUCUGCGAUUGUUCUGAUGGAACGCCUCUCAACAUGAUCCUCUGUUCACUUUUUUGUUAUGGCUUUGGUUGUUUGAAUAGCUUUGCUUUCAACUGUACGUGCUACAUAAGGACUCAAAUAUGUCCUAAGAUUUUGGCCAACGAAUUGAGCUUGAUAGCUUUAAAACUUGCUGGCCAAGAGAUAAGAUCUUCUUGUUCAGGAUGAGUCUAUAUAUACAGCCAUGUAUGGCAGGUCCUCUGCAUCAAUCUCAUCUGGUGUUCCUCCACAUACUACAUCUGAACCUUGGCAUAGAGAGAGCUACGUUGGUGAGAACCUGUUGGUUCAUCUCCUCUUGAGUGCACAACAGGAGAUACGAGAUCAUUGUAUCUUGGAGGAGAGCCGCCGUUUAAUUCAUGCACCAUGGCGAGGGCGUGAAUCUUCUUGAAGACGGCGCCUACCGGUGUGCCUUGAUCCAGUCGAGCUGCUGCACCAUGAUCUGCUGCGACCACAUCUUCACCAACAUACGACACCGACGACGUCAACAAUAGUGGUUGUUUAAUGUGUUUUUAGGCGAGCAGAUAAAUGAAGAGAAAACCCCAUAACUAAAAUUGUUGGCAUAUAUGUUUGAGCAAGCAGGGUAUACUAUGCCUGACAAAUGAUUUUAUGGCCUGAUAUAGAUGACUAAUGUAUAUAACUAAUUAAGUUGAACUAGCUGUGUGAGUUAUCUCUAGAAUAUUUCUUUUCUUCGUCGUAGCGCUGUAGGCAGAUUAAUUUUUCUUGUGCA
This 2021-nucleotide ribosomal RNA is filed under the name Triticum aestivum (bread wheat). Its description in RNAcentral is "partial small subunit ribosomal RNA". Lineage: Eukaryota; Viridiplantae; Streptophyta; Magnoliopsida; Poales; Poaceae. The record is from RNAcentral.